This 416-nucleotide long non-coding RNA is filed under the name Homo sapiens (human). RNAcentral's name for it is "HSALNT0089393". The record is from RNAcentral. Lineage: Eukaryota; Metazoa; Chordata; Mammalia; Primates; Hominidae.
AAUGGAAAGAGCGUUGGUUUGGAGCCUGAAAGUCUAGGUUUGAAUGUUGGCUUUGUGCUAGCAGCUGUGGGAGAGUGACUGAAGCUCUUGAUCAUGACUCAUGGCAUCUGGGCCUCUGCCUUGCAAGUUAACCACGACUUUACCCAUUUAUCCUGAGUUGGUCUUGUCACAGCAGCGAAGGUGAACCACGCUCAAAAAGGCUAUGGAUAAGGCUAGGAGAGCUCACAGCAUCCUGUCUCCUCCAGAAGCUCUUCCCCAGCUGAAAUGGAAGUGAAAGACUGGUAGUCUCCUCCUCAACCACCCACCUCCUGGGGCCCUGACUGUGUGGAUGAACUCCUCACACCCAGGAUUUGUGUCUCCAGUGAAAAGCAGCAAUUUAUCCUACACUGAAAAUUUCCUGAAUAAAAACAGUUCAU